GACGAACGCUGGCGGCGUGCUUAAUACAUGCAAGUAGACCGCUGAAGAGAGGAGCUUGCUCUUCUUGGAUGAGUUGCGAACGGGUGAGUAACGCGUAGGUAACCUGCCUGGUAGCGGGGGAUAACUACUGGAAACGAUAGCUAAUACCGCAUAAUAGUAGAUGUUGCAUGACAUUUGCUUAAAAGGUGCAAUUGCAUCACUACCAGAUGGACCUGCGUUGUAUUAGCUAGUUGGUGAGGUAACGGCUCACCAAGGCAACGAUACAUAGCCGACCUGAGAGGGUGAUCGGCCACACUGGGACUGAGACACGGCCCAGACUCCUACGGGAGGCAGCAGUAGGGAAUCUUCGGCAAUGGACGGAAGUCUGACCGAGCAACGCCGCGUGAGUGAAGAAGGUUUUCGGAUCGUAAAGCUCUGUUGUAAGAGAAGAACGAGUGUGAGAGUGGAGAGUUCACACUGUGACGGUAUCUUACCAGAAGGGACGGCU
Molecule: ribosomal RNA, 487 nt
Filed under: Streptococcus sp. oral taxon 064
Lineage: Bacteria; Bacillati; Bacillota; Bacilli; Lactobacillales; Streptococcaceae
Description: bacterial SSU rRNA
Rfam family: Bacterial small subunit ribosomal RNA
Source: RNAcentral